UACGGGGGGGGUAAGCGUUGUUCGGAAUUACUGGGCGUAAAGGGCUCGUAGGCGGCCAACUAAGUCGGACGUGAAAUCCCUCAGCUUAACUGGGGAACUGCGUCCGAUACUGGAUGGCUUGGAUUUGGGAGAGGGAUGCGGAAUUCCAGGUGUAGCGGUGAAAUUCGUAGAUAUCGGGAGGAACACCGGUGGCGAAGGCGGCGAUCUGGGUCGAUACUGACGCUGAGGUGCGAAAGCGUGGGGAGCAAACAGG
RNAcentral lists this ribosomal RNA (253 nucleotides) under uncultured bacterium. RNAcentral's name for it is "partial 16S ribosomal RNA". It matches the Rfam family "Bacterial small subunit ribosomal RNA", at positions 524 to 776 of the family's 1533-position model. The record is from RNAcentral.